This 329-nucleotide unclassified non-coding RNA is filed under the name soil metagenome. Its description in RNAcentral is "partial contains 5.8S ribosomal RNA, internal transcribed spacer 2, and large subunit ribosomal RNA". The stretch from base 1 to 120 matches the Rfam family "5.8S ribosomal RNA", at positions 35 to 154 of the family's 154-position model. The record is from RNAcentral.
GAUGAAGAACGCAGCGAAAUGCGAUAAGUAAUGUGAAUUGCAGAAUUCAGUGAAUCAUCGAAUCUUUGAACGCACAUUGCGCCCCCUGGUAUUCCGGGGGGCAUGCCUGUCCGAGCGUCAUUACAACCCUCAAGCCCAGCUUGGUGUUGGGCCCCGCCGCCCCGGCGGGCCCUAAAGUCAGUGGCGGUGCCGUCCGGCUCCGAGCGUAGUAAUUCUUCUCGCUCUGGAGGUCCGGUCGUGUGCUCGCCAGCAACCCCCAAUUUUUUUCAGGUUGACCUCGGAUCAGGUAGGGAUACCCGCUGAACUUAAGCAUAUCAAUAAGAGGAGGA